CCAAGGUUGAAAUGGAGGUGGCCAAGGGUGGAUGGAAGUGGCCAAGGUGGAAAUGGAGGUGGCCAAGGGUGGAUGGAAGUGGCCAAGGUGGCGGGCUGUGCUGGCCGCGGAUGAAGACAUCCCGGCCGCGGUAGGACGCGUGCCGGUCGCGGUUGAGGACAUCGCGGCCGCGGUAAAACUUCUGCUGGCCGCGGCCGAACCUCCUUUGGCCGCGGUCAGCUUCUUUUCUUCUUUUUUUU
RNAcentral lists this long non-coding RNA (239 nucleotides) under Eutrema salsugineum. Its description in RNAcentral is "long non-coding RNA (ESAL_LNC000932)". The record is from RNAcentral. Lineage: Eukaryota; Viridiplantae; Streptophyta; Magnoliopsida; Brassicales; Brassicaceae.